This 513-nucleotide ribosomal RNA is filed under the name bacterium enrichment culture clone ALO1_GLFRUDD03HE44A. Its description in RNAcentral is "bacterial SSU rRNA". It matches the Rfam family "Bacterial small subunit ribosomal RNA", at positions 9 to 517 of the family's 1533-position model. The record is from RNAcentral.
GAGUUUGAUCCUGGCUCAGAUUGAACGCUGGCGGCAGGCCUAACACAUGCAAGUCGAGCGGAUGACGGGAGCUUGCUCCUUGAUUCAGCGGCGGACGGGUGAGUAAUGCCUAGGAAUCUGCCUGGUAGUGGGGGACAACGUUUCGAAAGGAACGCUAAUACCGCAUACGUCCUACGGGAGAAAGCAGGGGACCUUUGGGCCUUGCGCUAUCAGAUGAGCCUAGGUCGGAUUAGCUAGUUGGUGGGGUAAUGGCUCACCAAGGCGACGAUCCGUAACUGGUCUGAGAGGAUGAUCAGUCACACUGGAACUGAGACACGGUCCAGACUCCUACGGGAGGCAGCAGUGGGGAAUAUUGGACAAUGGGCGAAAGCCUGAUCCAGCCAUGCCGCGUGUGUGAAGAAGGUCUUCGGAUUGUAAAGCACUUUAAGUUGGGAGGAAGGGCAGUAAGUUAAUACCUUGCUGUUUUGACGUUACCGACAGAAUAAGCACCGGCUAACUCUGUGCCAGCCGCCG